UACGUAGGUCCCGAGCGUUGUCCGGAUUUAUUGGGCGUAAAGCGAGCGCAGGUGGUUUAUUAAGUCUGGUGUAAAAGGCAGUGCUCAACCAUUGUAUGCAUUGGAAACUGGUAGACUUGAGUGCAGGAGAGGAGAGUGGAAUUACAUGUGUAGCGGUGAAAUGCGUAGAUAUAUGGAGGAACACCGGUGGCGAAAGCGGCUCUCUGGCCUGUAACUGACACUGAGGCUCGAAAGCGUGGGGAGCAAACAGG
This 251-nucleotide ribosomal RNA is filed under the name uncultured bacterium. RNAcentral's name for it is "partial 16S ribosomal RNA". It matches the Rfam family "Bacterial small subunit ribosomal RNA", at positions 524 to 776 of the family's 1533-position model. The record is from RNAcentral.